This 426-nucleotide ribosomal RNA is filed under the name uncultured bacterium. RNAcentral describes it as "bacterial SSU rRNA". It matches the Rfam family "Bacterial small subunit ribosomal RNA", at positions 356 to 773 of the family's 1533-position model. The record is from RNAcentral.
AGGGAAUCUUCCGCAAUGGACGAAAGUCUGACGGAGCAACGCCGCGUGAGUGAAGAAGGCCUUCGGGUCGUAAAACUCUGUUGCCGGGGAAGAACAAAUGCCGUUCGAACAGGGCGGCGCCUUGACGGUACCCGGCCAGAAAGCCACGGCUAACUACGUGCCAGCAGCCGCGGUAAUACGUAGGUGGCAAGCGUUGUCCGGAAUUAUUGGGCGUAAAGCGCGCGCAGGCGGCUUCUUAAGUCUGAGGUGAAAUCUUGCGGCUCAACCGCAAGCGGUCAUUGGAAACUGGGAGGCGUGAGUGCAGAAGAGGAGAGUGGAAUUCCACGUGUAGCGGUGAAAUGCGUAGAGAUGUGGAGGAACACCAGUGGCGAAGGCGACUCUCUGGGCUGUAACUGACGCUGAGGCGCGAAAGCGUGGGGAGCAAAC